GUGGACAUGAAGCUAGGGUUAUUGUUUGGGCUACGGUUAAGGUUGAACCAGGAUGUGGACAUGAAGCUAGGGUUAGGGUUUAGGCUACGGUUAAGGUUGAACCAGGAUGUGGACAUGAAGCUAGGAUUAGGGUUUAGGCUACGGUUAAGGUUGAACCAGGAUGUGGACAUGAAGCUAGGGUUAGGGUUUAGGCUACGGUUAAGGUUGAACCAGGAUGUGGACAUGAAGCUAGGGUUAUUGUUUGGGCUACGGUUAAGGUUGAACCAGGAUGUGGACAUGAAGCUAGGGUUAGGGUUUAGGCUACGGUUAAGGUUGAACCAGGAUGUGGACAUGAAGCUAGGGUUAGGGUUUAGGCUACGGUUAAGGUUGAACCAGGAUGUGGACAUGAAGCUAGAGUUAGGGUUUAGGCUACGGUUAAGGUUGAACCAGGAUGUGGACAUGAAGCUAGGGUUAGGGUUUAGGCUAUGGUUAAGGUUGAACCAGGAUGUGGACAUGAAGCUAGGGUUAGGGUUUAGGCUACGGUUAAGGUUGAACCAGGAUGUGGACAUGAAGCUAGGGUUAGGGUUUAGGCUACGGUUAAGGUUGAACCAGGAUGUGGACAUGAAGCUAGGGUUAUGGUUUAGGCUACGGUUAAGGUUGAACCAGGAUGUGGACAUGAAGCUAGGGUUAGGGUUUAGGCUACGGUUAAGUUUGAACCAGGAUGUGGACAUGAAGCUAGGAUUAGGGUUUAAGCUACGGUUAAGGUUGAACCAGGAUGUGGACAUGAAGCUAGGGUAAUGGUUUAGGCUACGGUUAAGGUUGAACCAGGAUGUGGACAUGAAGCUAGGAUUACGGUUUAGGCUACGGUUAAGGUUGAACCAGGAUGUGGACAUGAAGCUAGGGUUAGGGUUUAGGCUACGGUUAAGGUUGAACUGGAUGUGGACAUGAAGCUAGUGUUAGGGUUUAGGCUACAGUUAAGGUUUAACCAGGAUGUAGACAUGAAGUUAGGGUUAUUGUUUGGGCUACGGUUAAGGUUGAACCAGGAUGUGGACAUGAAGCUAGAGUUAGGGUAUAGGCUAUGGUUAAGGUUGAACCAGGAUGUGGACAUGAAGCUAGGGUUAGGGUUUAGGCUACGGUUAAGGUUGAACCAGGAUGUGGACAUGAAGUGAGGGUUAUUGUUUGGGCUACGGUUAAGGUUGAACCAGGAUGUGGACAUGAAGCUAGGGUUAGGGUUUAGGCUACGGUUAAGGUUGAACCAGGAUGUGGACAUGAAGCUAGGGUUAGGGUUUAGGCUACGGUUAAGGUUGAACCAGGAUGUGGACAUGAAGCUAGGGUUAGGGUUUAGGCUACGGUUAACGUUGAACCAGGAUGUGGACAUGAAGCUAGAGUUAGGGUUUAGGCUACGGUUAAGGUUGAACCAGGAUGUGGACAUGAAGCUAGGGUUAGGGUUUAGGCUACAGUUAAGGUUGAACCAGGAUGUGGACAUGAAGCUAGGGUUAGGGUUUAGGCUACAGUUGGGUUGAUCCUCUCAAUCCUCUCAUUUGUAUUAAUUCAAAUGUUCC
RNAcentral lists this long non-coding RNA (1541 nucleotides) under Salmo salar (Atlantic salmon). RNAcentral's name for it is "lncRNA (ENSSSAG00000113773.1)". Lineage: Eukaryota; Metazoa; Chordata; Actinopteri; Salmoniformes; Salmonidae. The record is from RNAcentral.